This 468-nucleotide ribosomal RNA is filed under the name uncultured bacterium. Its description in RNAcentral is "partial 16S ribosomal RNA". It matches the Rfam family "Bacterial small subunit ribosomal RNA", at positions 28 to 507 of the family's 1533-position model. The record is from RNAcentral.
GACGAACGCUGGCGGCGUGCUUAACACAUGCAAGUCGAACGGGAAGGCCCUGCUUUUGUGGGGUGCUCGAGUGGCGAACGGGUGAGUAACACGUGAGUAACCUGCCCUUGACUUUGGGAUCACUUAAGGAAACUUGUGCUAAUACCGGAUAAGAGCUCCUGCUGCCUGGUGGGGGUUUAAAAGUUUCGCCGGUUGGUGAUGUACUCGCGGUUUAUCCGCAUGUUCGUGGGGUGCUGGCUUACCAAGGCUUUGACGGCUUGCCGGCCUGAGAUGGUGACCGGCUACACUGGGACUAAGCCACGGCCGAGACUCCUAUGGGAUGCAGCAGUGGGGAAAAUUGCCCAACGGGCCGAAGUAUGACGCAGCCACGCCGCGUGUGGAAUGUCGACCUUCGGGUUGUAAACUGCCUUCGAAGGAGACGAAGCGUGAGUGACGGUAAUGGGUAAAGAAGCACCGGCUAACUACGUG